Molecule: microRNA precursor, 145 nt
Filed under: Trypanosoma vivax Y486
Lineage: Eukaryota; Euglenozoa; Kinetoplastea; Trypanosomatida; Trypanosomatidae
Source: RNAcentral
GCGUGACCACCACAACGCGGAUUUUUUUUUUUUUUUGUUUGUUUGUUUGUUUGUUUGUUUGGUAUUCUUUUAGGUGGUCAUUCGCUCUAUCACACACACGCACAAACAGACAGGCAGAAAGAAAGAGAGAGAGAGAGAGAGAAAC